GUUGACCUCGAAUCAGGUAGGAAUACCCGCUGAACUUAAGCAUAUCAAUAAGCGGAGGAAAAGAAACCAACAGGGAUUGCCYCAGUAACGGCGAGUGAAGCGGCAACAGCUCAAAUUUGAAAUCUGGCUCUCGGGCCCGAGUUGUAAUUUGUAGAGGAUGCUUUUGGUGAGGUGCCUUCCGAGUUCCCUGGAACGGGACGCCAUAGAGGGUGAGAGCCCCGUCUGGUUGGACACCGAUCCUCUGUAAAGCUCCUUCGACGAGUCGAGUAGUUUGGGAAUGCUGCUCUAAAUGGGAGGUAUAUGUCUUCUAAAGCUAAAUACCGGCCAGAGACCGAUAGCGCACAAGUAGAGUGAUCGAAAGAUGAAAAGAACUUUGAAAAGAGAGUUAAACAGUACGUGAAAUUGUUGAAAGGGAAGCGCUUGUGACCAGACUUGGGCUUGGUUGAUCAUCCGGGGUUCUCCCCGGUGCACUCUUCCGGCCCAGGCCAGCAUCAGUUCGCCCUGGGGGACAAAGGCUUCGGGAAUGUGGCUCUCUCCGGGGAGUGUUAUAGCCCGUUGCGUAAUACCCUGUGGCGGACUGAGGUCGC
RNAcentral lists this ribosomal RNA (587 nucleotides) under fungal sp. RNAcentral describes it as "eukaryotic LSU rRNA". Lineage: Eukaryota; Fungi. The record is from RNAcentral.